GACGAACGCUGGCGGCGUGCUUAACACAUGCGAGUCGAACGGAAAGGCCCUGCUUUUGUGGGGUGCUCGAGUGGCGAACGGGUGAGUAACACGUGAGUAACCUGCCCUUGACUUUGGGAUAACUUCAGGAAACUGGGGCUAAUACCGGAUAGGAGCUCCUGCUGCAUGGUGGGGGUUGGAAAGUUUCGGCGGUUGGGGAUGGACUCGCGGCUUAUCAGCUUGUUGGUGGGGUAGUGGCUCACCAAGGCUUUGACGGGUAGCCGGCCUGAGAGGGUGACCGGCCACAUUGGGACUGAGAUACGGCCCAGACUCCUACGGGAGGCAGCAGUGGGGAAUAUUGCACAAUGGGCGGAAGCCUGAUGCAGCAACGCCGCGUGCGGGAUGACGGCCUUCGGGUUGUAAACCGCUUUCGCCUGUGACGAAGCGUGAGUGACGGUAAUGGGUAAAGAAGCACCGGCUAACUACGUG
Molecule: ribosomal RNA, 468 nt
Filed under: uncultured bacterium
Lineage: Bacteria
Description: partial 16S ribosomal RNA
Rfam family: Bacterial small subunit ribosomal RNA
Source: RNAcentral